UCCGAUUUACACCGGCGGUCUCCUGUGAGUUCCCAUCUUUCAUGCUGGUAACACAGGACGAGGGUUGCGCUCGUUGGCGGACUUAACCGUACACCUCACGGCACGAGCUGACGACAGCCAUGCAACAAGUGUCUUCACGUCCCCUUGUGGGGGAGGGCCCUCUUUCAAGGGCUUGCGAUCGAUGUCAAGUCUGGGUAAGGUUCUUCGGUUAGUAUCGAAUUAAUCCACAUGCUCCACCGCUUGUGCGGGUCCCCGUCAAUUCCUUUGAGUUUUAACCUUGCGGUCGUAAUCCCCAGGCGGGGUGCUUAAUGCGUUAGCUACGGCACGGAGGGAGUGGAUAACCCCCCACACCUAGCACCCAUCGUUUACGGCGUGGACUAC
This 381-nucleotide unclassified non-coding RNA is filed under the name uncultured Armatimonadota bacterium. Its description in RNAcentral is "uncultured Armatimonadetes bacterium contains 16S-23S intergenic spacer region". The record is from RNAcentral. Lineage: Bacteria; Bacillati; Armatimonadota.